This is a long non-coding RNA of Oryctolagus cuniculus (rabbit), 984 nucleotides long. RefSeq lists it as uncharacterized. Lineage: Eukaryota; Metazoa; Chordata; Mammalia; Lagomorpha; Leporidae. The record is from RefSeq and is a predicted model, not a curated record.
CGCCGGGGCCAGGGCCGGGCCCGGGGCCCGGGGGCGCUGGGUGCCGCAGGAGCGGCUGCUGCUCCGCCAGGCGGUAGUUGAUGGGCGCGGCGGGCGGCAGCGACACCGCAUGCGCCGAGUUGGGAGACGUGAUCUCGAAGCAUGCGCAGGAGCCUGAGAACAUUUAAGUCCACUCAGCCAGGAGGUGGCCAAGGCUCACGGCAAAUCCCAGAAGCCACAAUUCCUCAUUCAGAGGGCCCGAGACCUGGACUCCCUGGCCCUGGAGCGGAGAUUGACCCCGUGGCCUGCUGGCUUCCGGAGGGAGGCGUUCUCAGGCUGGGUCGGAAGCCGCUGCAUCCGGGUACCUGUCCCUGUCCCUUCUCCAGGUUGUCCUUGUGUGAGCCCAUCAGCUCCCUGCCACACAGACAGGGGCCACCUCCCUCCAUGGGGGCUGGCAGUCGCUGCCCUGCCGCACCAGCCCAGGGAGUCCGGCUACGGGGUCCGGGUGAUGAAGCCGCCCCACGUCAUGCAGGUGGCAGAGAUGGGCAUGCUGCCCAGCCUGCGAGCUCCGCAGGAGCAGGGACAGGUGCUAUCUUGGGCUUCCUGAGGAGACCGUGCCUGGAGGGGGCUGAGCUGAGUGGGGGACAUCGGCUCUGCUCCCCUCGCAGCCGAAGGCCACUCACGGACUGAGGGAAGUGGAGCCGGCUGCCUGGGACUCCUGGUCCGGAGUGCAGGAGCAGAGUUUCCCGGUUUGCAGUCAUUCACAGCAUGAGAACCCGGCAACCGGGCCUUGGGGCGAUACCGCGGGCCUGGGAGCGUGCCUGGCUCCCGCGUGUCCUGCACUGGCCAGCUUCCUGGGCCUCAGCCUCUCCCCCCCCCCCCCCCCAUGGUGUCUCUUCCUGCUGGGACAUGGUGCCGCGAGGAUGGGUUCCCGGUGCAGUCAGUAACAUCUCCUUCCGCUCCGGAAGGUGUUCCCAGGAGCACUGCCGAGAGGCCCGGGCCCCA